CACUGCUCAAGGAUUUUCCUCUCUCACCUGGGAACAAGAGGCAAAGAUCAGCUUUCACUUUCAUGUAACUUGAGCUGCCAGUAGUCAAGCAUCCACUUUAAGCCCUUUAGACUUCAAGAAAGGGAGAAGGAGGGGGCACCUCCAGGGUGUCUUAGUAAAGAAAGAACCCAGAGCUCUGGAUCUGGGUUGCCUCCCUCCUUGGAAGUGCCCAGACAGCCACCUUACAGACGGCUGGAGACAUGACAGAACUACCUGUAUUUCAAAAUCCACACCUCUUGCAAAACGCAUAGCUGAAUCACUGGCCCUGACUGUGACGCAGAGUAAGGCUGAGCUGAGAGCUUCAUUUGCAAAACAAUCCUGAUGCAACAUGGCAAAAAUGGAAGGUCAUGUCUUUUACAGCCCAGUAAAGAAGAGAGCUUUGAAACGAAGAAAUACCUUGAGACUUCAGUACUCAUCCAAUUCUGUCCAAAGUCCUGUGCCUGGCAAGGAGUAAACCCAUGCAUCGUUACAGCCUGGGGGCCAACUGACUGAGAAGCAGCAGAAAGAAAAUGACCUGGGGUUCCUGGUAGGCAAGAUGAAUACGAGCCAGCAGGACACCUGUACAGCAAAGAAUGCCAACAGCAUCCUGGGCUGCACAAUGUGGAUUAUUGCCAGCAGGUCCAGGGAGAUGCUGCUCCCUUUUUGCUCAGCACUGCCGAGGUACAUUGGAGUGCUGGGUCCAGUUCUGGGUCAUCCAGUACGGGAGAGAAAUGGACAUACUGGAAUGACUCCAGUGCAGGGUCACAGAGAUGACUAAGGUUUUGGAGCAUCUGUAGUAUGAGGAGAGGCUGAGAGCUGGGGUCAUCCAGCCUGGAGAGGGCUUAGACUCUUGGCAGUGCACAGUGGCAGAACAGAGCACUUAAAAGAGGUGCCUGGACAUGGUCCUGGGCAACUUGUUUGAGGUGGUCCAGCUUGAACAGGAGGGUUGGACCAGAUGACCUCCAGAGAUCCCCUUUCAACCUCAACCACCCUACAGUUCUGUAACUAAAGGCAAUGGGCACAUGCUGAAAUACAGGAAAUCAUGUUUAAACCUAGCUGAAAACAUUUCAUUGUGAAGGUGACUGACCACUGGAACAGGUUGCCCAGAGUCAUGGAGUCUCCACCCAUGGAGAUACUCAAAACCUGACAAGGCAAGGCCCUGAGCAACCCGCUCCAGGUGACCCUGCUGUGAGCAGGGGGCAGAAGAGGCGAUUCCCAGACACUCCUGCCAACCUCAGCCAUUCUGCGUUCUCUGGAAUGUGUUCAAUUGGUGGAACUUCACAACCACUCUUCGCCUUGUGCUGUUUCUCAACACACAUCAGAAGUUGUAUUGGCUUUCAAGACUGACAGACACAUACAGAAAAACAGGCAAGGAAUCUGGGCAGUUGUGUUUUAUUAAUUCUUUUACCUAAAUGAUGAAGUGGCCUACAAGGUGAUUUUUUAAAUCAUUUUCUGUUGAUCAAACUUUCAGUACCAGGUAAGCUGAAGAAUAUGUGAUGCUGUUUCAAAGUAUUCCAAGAUAAACAUGCACAACACUAACUUCUUAAGCACAAUUAUGGAACUAGAGGUGUAUUUAGCAAUGAGAAAACUAGAAAAGCAAAGGAAAAUAAUCCUAAUUAUCAAAGAAAAAAAGAAAUUACAUCUUCAGAGGGUAUCACGUAUGUGCUGCAAAAGAAAUUCCAGAGGAUUCUACAAGAAAUGUUUUCAUACACACUUGCUGACAGAGUACAAUUCAUCACUGAAUUACAGCUUCUCUUGUUUUCAACCAUGGAACAAGUUUUGUUCUUCCCAAAUGUUCUAAAGAAGGAUUUCAGAGCGUGUCAAUGUUCUUCAGUACCUUGUUUGAAAGAUGCUAUGAACCAAAGCUAGACCUUGUAGCUCCAGCUGGACGGAGUGGGAACUUCAGAGCUCGAAAACUGAAGCUACAACUUGUCACAUAGCAGUGUUAGCUUCAAGACCACUGAAGAGUUUACAUUAGCUUCCCUUUUAAAACCGGUUCAAUACUACCAAGCUUCAGCCACAGAACACCAAAUUUACUGCAAAAUGAAAGAAAAGAGCAUUUCUGCAAAGUUUCAAGAAAACUCAAAUUAUUUUAUUCACAAAAGCAUAAGUCAAUAAAAAUAUAGAUAUCCUGAUCA
Anas platyrhynchos (mallard) is the source of this 2156-nucleotide non-coding RNA. Lineage: Eukaryota; Metazoa; Chordata; Aves; Anseriformes; Anatidae. The record is from RefSeq and is a predicted model, not a curated record.